GAUGAACGCUGGCGGCGUGCCUAAUACAUGCAAGUCGAGCGAACAGACGAGGAGCUUGCUCCUCUGACGUUAGCGGCGGACGGGUGAGUAACACGUGGAUAACCUACCUAUAAGACUGGGAUAACUUCGGGAAACCGGAGCUAAUACCGGAUAAUAUAUUGAACCGCAUGGUUCAAUAGUGAAAGACGGUUUUGCUGUCACUUAUAGAUGGAUCCGCGCCGCAUUAGCUAGUUGGUAAGGUAACGGCUUACCAAGGCAACGAUGCGUAGCCGACCUGAGAGGGUGAUCGGCCACACUGGAACUGGGACACGGUCCAGACUCCUACGGGAGGCAGCAGUAGGGAAUCUUCCGCAAUGGGCGAAAGCCUGACGGAGCAACGCCGCGUGAGCGAUGAAGGUCUUCGGAUCGUAAAACUCUGUUAUUAGGGAAGAACAAAUGUGUAAGUAACUAUGCACGUCUUGACGGUACCUAAUCAGAAAGCCACGGCUAACUACGUG
This 497-nucleotide ribosomal RNA is filed under the name uncultured bacterium. RNAcentral describes it as "partial 16S ribosomal RNA". It matches the Rfam family "Bacterial small subunit ribosomal RNA", at positions 28 to 507 of the family's 1533-position model. The record is from RNAcentral.